This 11423-nucleotide long non-coding RNA is filed under the name Equus caballus (horse). RNAcentral describes it as "lncRNA (ENSECAG00000056339.1)". The record is from RNAcentral. Lineage: Eukaryota; Metazoa; Chordata; Mammalia; Perissodactyla; Equidae.
GACAUCCCGUGUUGCUGGGCAACUCAGUGUGUACGGGUGUGUCCCCUUAGCACUCUCUCUCCUGCUAGUCCAUGGGCACAGCCUGAACGGCAGGCGUGACCGUCCCCAUGUGAUCAGGUCUGUGACAGCCCCUGUUCUCUGGGCUCAAUGAUGACAGGCACAAAAGUACCCAAGCGGUGUAUGCCUGGGGUUCUCCCAAGUGCUCCCUUGGGAGGUUGUGGCUGAAACUGGAAGUUUCCAUCUGGUCGCGUGUGUGCAGACCCCUCUGGGUCUGGGCAGUGGACUGUCAAGGCGCCAGCAGGACGUGCUCGUGCCUGAGGGUCUGUAGUGGAGCUGGUAUCUCCAGGCCCGGCUGUCCCUCUUUGGGGGCUGGCCUUGGGCAUCGCAGAAUCUUGCAGGAGUGAUGACUCCUGCCAGACGCUUCUCAUCAUCCUCGCAGGAACCUUCUGAAUUCACUAUUUGGAACCAGCCCACAGUCACUGCGCCACGGGCAGCCAUCCUUCUAGGCAGAAAGCAAAUGUAACAAGGCAGAUGUGUGAGUGCCUAAAAUUGCUUAGAAAGAAAAUUUUCAGAGAAAGAAAAAAAGACUUUAAAAAUAUUUUCAACAAUGAAAACAACAUCUUGGAAGUAGAGAACCUUCUAGGGUGAUUCCUUUAGUGUUCUCUUCUCUUUUGGUCUUGAAGAGCUCUACUUUACUAUCGUCGAGCUGUGUGUCUCUGGGCGUGUCCCCCUCUGGGCUGUGCACAAACGGGCUCUAGGUGUGUCCCCGGCUCCAAGCAGCUCGGCCAGCAAAGCGUUUCUCCACUGCAGGGAAUUUCCAGGAGGCAGAUCCUGCCUCAGCUGCGGUGCCUUUCCCGAAUGGACGGUCCAGGACGGCAGGGACCUGGUCUGGCUCACGCUGCAUCCAGUGCCUAGAGAAACAGGCUUCAUUAACUGACCACCCGCUUUGUGCCAGGCGCUGUCUUAAAUGCUUUAAACGCAUCAUCUGAUCUGAUCCUCACCAUAGUCCUACAAGGAUUUUGACCCAAGUAGGAGAAUGAUGCUCGGAGAAGCUGAGAAUCUUGCCCAAGGACAUAUAAUUUGACCCUCGCAGUCUGCACGUACUCUUAACUGCCAUACCGUAGACUUGGCCGUGAGAAUGUGCCCUUUCCACCGGCCCUGCACAUCCUCUGCUGGGGAACCACCCCCCUUAUUCGGCCCUUGCUUGCUGAGCUCCCUGUGCCAGCCUUAGGAAUGCUGAACCCCUGCCGCCCCACCCCUACCACCCUGGCCUUUGGAGGGGGCGUGGAGGUGCACUCAUGCUUGGGGGAUCCAGAAUAUCCCACUGUGAAGAGGGUUGUUUUUCUCUUGAACGCCCUUUAUCUGAAAUCAGGGCCUCCCAAAAGAAUUCGACUGUCGUAAGUCCCCUCCCCAGGAGUUUUGCAACCAGAGAAGGUUGACUCCUGUCACCAGAGAGAAAUCUGCACUGCGAUAAGAAAACUAUGAGAUCACCCAUCUCUUCUCCUAAGGGCCCAUUUAUCUUUCCAAAAAUUGUUUGUUUUUCUGUAAGUUCUCCUCUCCCCCUCCCCUUCCCCUAUGAAGAUGGGCUGUAAGCUCCAAAUUCUAACUACCUCCUUGAGUCACACUUUUCCGUGAACCCCUAGGCACGUAUGUGAACUAAAAAUCCAUCUUUUCUCUUACUGAUCUCUAUUUUGCCAGUUUAAUUUGCAGGCUCCCAAGUAGUGAACCUAAGAGGGUGGAGAAAAGGUUUUCCUCCUAGACAACGCCAAGUUCGAUCAGGAGGGAGAAACGCUGGUGGUACCAUCCUUCAGAGGGGAGGGGACCUGCUGACCCCUGACCGGUUGUUGGUGGCCAGGAUGGAUUUGUGCUCAUUUUUCUUCUGCCCAUCACUGUGCAUCCUAGGACACUACAAUCUCUGCAACUGAGUUUCUUUCACACAAAGCGAACAUAUACUGGAAGCUGCUCCCUCAGCCUUCUCAACAUGCUUCCGGCUGAAGGAAAGGAGACACCAGCAAGGCCACUGCCCCAGGCAGUAGGUUGGCUGGCCUGAGAGGGGAAGUGGGCACUUAGUCUGGGGAAUUCGCCAUGGUCUGCAGUGCAGCCCUUAGCUUUGGGGCAGAGAAGAUCCCUUUUGGCAGGACUGACUCACAUUAAUCAAACUCACCAAGCGCUGACGUAAAAACUGGAAUGCUAUCUUCCUAUUUUGCAGAGGAGCCUGUGUGCGAGACAAGAUGCUCACACAGGCAGGUCUGGACAGUCCUCUCUCUCCUGGUGUGGGAGUCUGGCAGAAACAACUACAGUGAGAGGUUGCUGGGUGGGCUGGGAUCUGUUGGUGUAUCUCAGUGGCCCAAAGCGAUGAAGGGGUCAGAUGUCCAUGAGAAGAAGGCUCUGCUGGACAUGUAGGUUAGUAGGAGAAAGUACGUAUUCUUCAACUCAAAGCUUAUUUCAGAGCAUAACAUGUAAACACUGAUAAACUUGGAACUGCUCUGAGUCGGGGGAGAGGGAAGCCCACCCCCAGGGAGCUCCAGGGAGCAGCUGGAACACUUCUGGCCUCUUAGCAACUUUCUGAGGUGUCCCUGGCCAAUGGCAGCUGGCCUGCCUGACACUUCUGGGGAGGGAAGCUGGGCCGGAGAGCUGCUUGUUGCAGGAGCGUUCAGUAUGAGGAGGGUGGCAUUUCUGAUAAAGGGCCCGAGGUCAGCUGGGGAGGGUGUGGUUAAUCUCUGGAUAGCCAGAGAUCCUGGUACCCUAACACCUGGAUAGGGGACAUCACAGAUGAAGUCUGCUACCCAAAGGCCGAUUUACGUCUGACCACCCCCUGCCCAAAAUUCUACUGUGUAGUCAUUUUUUAGAUUUCGGUACUAUGGUCCUAUAAGGCCCCUUUGGAAAUGCAGAUCUACCUAAAGAGGAAUAACCCAGUAUUCCUGAAAUUUUUGAGGUGAGUAAGUGACUCCUAGAACCAUCCUGAAAUUUCUGGCUAUUUCUGGGUACGCCUGCUUCUAAGCAAAGGCAAGCUGACUGCUUGUAAAUGACCACAGAAAUAAAAGGAGAGGAAUAGGAGGAAGCUAUUUCUAUGUAGAUAAAGAGCAAUUUCCAAGACAAUAUUGUUAAAUAAGGAAGCCAGGUGCAGACCAGGUACCUAACAUCUUAGCGUUUAAGUAAGAAAAGGGAGGGUGUCUGCACACCUUCACCUUUGGCUGUAAAUGUGGUGAGCAGCCCUGGAAGGGGAGAGAAGCUGGUCAAGUUGGAGGCCAAGCGAGGGGUGGGAGAGAAACUUGUACCAUGUACUCUUUUCAACUUUUGAUCGUCCCAUGUGCUUGUGUAUUAAUUCAAAGAACAAUUUGUUUUUAAAAAUUCAUUUCAGGGGCCGGCCCCAUGGCGGAGUGGUUAAGUUCUUGCGCUCCGAUUCGGCACCCCAGGGUUUCGCCGGUUUGGAUCCUGGGCAUGGACCUGGCACCGCUCAUCAGGCCAUGCUGAGACGGCGUCCCACAUGCUACAACUAGAAGGACCCACAACUGAAAUAUACAGCCAUGUACCGGGGGGCUUUGGGGAGAAGAAGAAGAAGAAAAAAAAGAAGAUUGGCAACAGAUGUUAGCUCAGGUGCCACUCUUUAAUAAAUAAAUAAAUAAGUAAGUAAAAAUUCGUUUUGGGGCUGGCCCUAUGGCCUACUGGUCAAGUUCAGCAUGCUCUGCUUUGGUAGCCCAGGUUUGGUUCCCGGGCAUGGACCUAUACUACUCAUCAAUGACCAUGCUGUGGUGGCAACCCACAUACAAAAUAGAGGAAGACUGGCACAGAUGUUAGCUCAGGGCAAAUUUUCCUCAGCAAAAGAAAAAGAAAAAGAAAAAAAAUUUGUUUGGCCUGAUAUGUAACUGCAGAUGCUCCUGCCUCUAGCUCCAAGAUGCAGUUCUGUGCUCUGCCACUAACCUGCUCCCAGGUCCUCAUCACCGGCCAGGUAGCACCCUACAUCCUCAGCCCAGGGACCCAGGGACCCUGGCAAGGGAACAGGUGCCAAGCAGGGGCAGUACCUGGGGACCUCUGGCAAGAGUUUGUGGCACUGUCUAUAGCUCAUAAUGCCCUAAAGGAAUAGAAGAACCACAAGCACCUAAGCAAAGCCACCAGGGUGCUGUGUGGGCCAACCCCAGCAGAUGGCAGCGUGUGGCCAGCUGCCGGGGAAGGGUGCCAGCCACACAGGAGUGGGGACUGGACACCGCGAGAGAAGGCUGGCAGGGUGACCGUGAGGGCAGAAGGACCCUGGCCAAGGCUAGGUGGGCUUCCCCAUCUUCUCUGUGCCACAGGCCCCUUGGAGUCUGGCAACCUUCUCAGAGUGAGGUUUUUAAACGCAUAAAGUAAAAUACCCAGGAUUACAAAGGAAGCAAAUUAUAUUGAAAUACGAUUGCCAUGAGUGAUUAAUAAUUCUUUAUUAAUGUAUUAAAUCAGGAUUGGAUCCAGUGGUAGGCCUGAUAACUACCAUGAUUUUGAAGUCAUGACGAGCAUAGAUAAUAUUCAAAGUAUCUGCCACCACAGUGGUGUGAUAUGAAAAUAGCUGUGACUCCUGUUGGUGACGAAGUCCCAGGGGCCGCCUUUACUACUGUGGUACAAUGUCUGCAUGCACAAUGGAAGGAGAUGCUAGAUUUCAAUUCAAGAUUAGCAAAAAUAGACAUGCAGAUUUUUCCUUCCCAAGUUCACCGACUUCCAAAACCUUAACUGCUGUCUGAGAAUCUGAGAAGUGCAGCUUGGAAGGGGCACCAAGUGGAGAAGAAAAGAUGGGUUUCUAGACUGUCUCCCCAAACCAGUGUUUCCUUCUGCCAUUCACAGUGAGUGUCAGAGACCCGGACGGCCUAGCAGGGGCAGCGGAGGUGCAGGAGGCCUGGGCCUGGUCCAGCUGCUGUGGGACACUUUGCCCUGGCUGGAAGCGGGUCUGGAAUUGGCACAGACGGAUGCUCCUCCCAAUGCCUCUGGGCACUCCAGUGACACAAGAAAGUCAGGCCCUGGCUGGGAGGACCAGUCAGGGUUCCCCUCCCUUCUUGUUCCUCCAUCUCCCCUCCAAGGCCCCCCCAGUUCCUUUAACUGCAGGGGGGCCCAUGCCUGAGUAUCUGGAAGCCAAGAAAUGCCCCGGGGCCCCUCCUCCCUGCAGAAGGUGUUUCCCUUCAUGUGGAUAAUGGCCAUUGACGACGAGGAAGUGAGGGGAAGUCUUUCUCCUCUGCUUAUGCGUCCACCUGAACAGAUGCUUUGAGUCUGAACCUAAAAACAGGGGGCCCAGACAAUCCCAUGUUACGGCUGUGGGCAUGGCAUAUUCUCUUUCAGUUUGUCUAUUCGGUUUGCUUCUUCAUUUUGUGUUUCAAAACUUUUUUUUUUAUGAUUUUAUUUUUUUCCUUUUUCUCCUCGAAGCCCCCCAGUACAUAGUUGUAUAUUCUUCGUUGUGGGUCCUUCUAGUUGUGGUAUGUGGGACGCUGCCUCAGCGUGGUUCGAUGAGCAGUGCCAUGUCCUCGCCCAGGAUUUGAACCAACAAAUCACUGGGCCGCCUGCAGCGGAGCACGCGAACUUAACCACUUGGCCACAGGGCCAGCCCCAUCAAAACAUUUUAAACAUAUGUAAAAGUAAAUAAAAGGGACUCCCAUUGACCCUCUCUCCCAGAGUCUACAGUUACCAAUUUUUUGCCACACAGGCUUUAUUUGUCCCUUUCCAGUAUAACUAUUAGAAGUGCCCUCCUUCACUCCGGAAGUCCUAGUUUGGACAACUAAAUGCACUAUCUGAUCCUAGACUAGAUCAUGCACUGGAGGGAAAAAGUGCUAUUAAGGACAUCUUUGGAUCAAUUGAUAAAAAUGGGAAUAUAAACAGUAGAGCAGAUACAAGUAUUACAUCAAAGUUAUAUUUACCAAAGUUGAUUGAAAAAAAUAUGGUUAUGUAAGACAGUUUCCUUAUUCUUAGGAAAUAAAUAGGAGUAAGGGGCCAUGGUGCACGCAACCAACUUUCAAAUGUUUCAGAAAAAAAGCAUGUAUAUACACAUAUGUACAUGUAAACAUAUGUAUAUGUAUGUAUACAAGUGUGUAUACACAUAUGUGUGUGUAUAUAUAUUGAGAGAAAGAGAUUGAAAGUAAAUAAGAAAGAUGCUAAAAUUGGUGAAUCUGAGUAAAGAUAUAGGAGUGUUCUUAUACUAUUUGUAUUCUUUCCAUUUUUCUGUAAGUUUGGAAUUAUUUCCAGAAAAACAUACAAAAAACCCUAUGUUAGCAAACCAAUGAGAAGUGCUAGUCUGGACAAUAAAUUAUGUGGCCACCCUACCUAAGAUUCAUCUAAAAUCUAAAAUGGCCACUGUGGGUUUGACUGUGCUGGGGAGGGAAAUGCCCCUGCUACCCCUCUUGAGUUCUUAUGCCUGGACUAAUAAUUAAACUGACACAAGACCAGAGUAACAGGAGGGAAAAAGCAAUUUAAUACGUACGUACAGGAGAUCAUAAAAGUGAUCCUCUAAGAGUGAACAAAUCAGCUAGUUUAUAUAUCUUUUUAUACAAAUAAAUAAUAAAAAUCUGUAAUUGACAAGACAAAGAAACUUAGCUUUGGGCUAUGUUAAUUACAUAAUUGUGAGGAAUUUAAGCAGAGUUUAGGCUUGAGGUAGUAAAUUAGUAAAAGUAACAAGAGUUGUUUAUACAGGCUUCUCAGCCCUGAACUCCCCAGCUCUGUGAUAAGGAUGUCUCUAUUUCCUGGUGCAAGGAGGGUACUUUUCUCAUGGGAGAUUUAUUUCCUGCCUUCAGGAGGAACAGAGAGAGGAGAGUCAAAACUUUAAGUCAAAACAAAUAACUUAAAUUCAAAAUAGUCCAUAUGCCAUUGUGGGACACUUUGGAGCAGCCUGCCCUGGGUGCCAACAACUGGGAGGCAAGUCCCGAGAUUCCAGGCUGAAAGAGUUCUGUCUCACAAUUCUGUUUAUUCUCUGCCCCACCCUCAUUUGCAUCUGUAUGAAAGGCUACAGAGAAUAUUCAUAAAACCAGGCCCAUUUUGUUGAGCAAUGGCUGCAUGCAGAACCCUGGGGUAGGGGCAACAGUGCCAAGAUGACUGAAGUGGCUCGUGGGCAGGUGGGCAGUGUUAGGGGCCAUCCUGACGGCAGGGAGCUCUGCAGCCCCAGGUCUGGCCCCCCCUGGUGCUGGCCCCAGAGGCCCUUAAGUGCUUGAGUUCCACAAUCCUCCCCUGUUACGGAGGCUGGGAUGCCAGGACGUGGCUGUGUGCUGUGCAUUGGCCUGGAGCAAUCUCUUGCCUGGGGCAUCUCUGCACAUCAUUGACAGGAGCUGCUGUCCACUGGAAUGAACUAGAACAAGAGCUGACUGUCCGUGGCCCUCACCCAACACCUGGGCUUUUCAUAAGGGGUCUAGAGUCCAUGAGAAUCCCCCAGUCCAAGAAAAGAUCUCCUAGGUAGAAGCAUUCUGCCCCAUCGUGCCUUUUUUUUUUUUUUGGAGGAAGAUCAGCCCUGAGCUAACAUCCAUGCCCAUCCUCCUCUACUUUAUAUGUGGACAGCAUGGCGUGCCAAGCGGUGCCAUGUCCGCACCCAGGAUCUGAACCGGCGAACCCCGGGCCACCAAAGUGGAACGUGCGAACUUAACUGCUGCGCCACCGGGCUGGCCCCCCAUCAUGCCUUUUUGUUAUCCAACUCUGGGUUGGAAUUUAAUAUAUUUACUCUAAUCUCCUGGAUGUCUCCGCGUCAACUGGUGUGCCCCUUCCCCCUGCACCCUUCUCCUACCCUUGAAACUCAGAAGUAUAAUAACAAUAACAAUGGCUGACACUUUAUGCACAUUUCAUCAUUUAAUCCUCCCAAGAACUGGAGGAGGUAAGUACUAUUAUCCCCUUCCACACAGUUUAGAAAACAUUAACUAAGUUCACCCAGCUAGAGAGUGGUGGCACUGAGCUUCCAGCACAGGCAGCGCAGGAAGGGGUGGGGCAGGCAGAGCUGCUCCCGGGAGGCGUCCUCGCCCCAGGACCUGGGAGCCCAGAGAGUGAAAAGCCCACUCUGAAAUGGACACAAGGGUGGGCUACAGUCCCAGAUUUCUGAAUCUCCAUGAAUAUAACGGGAUGUCCUGAGCACAGACUUGGGAACCAGGCUGCUUGGGUUCAAACUCCAGUUUAGCUGAUCACCAGCUGGGUGACUUUGGGCAAGUGUCUGUACCUCGGUUUGCUCCUCUGUAAAAUGGGCAUAAUAAUGGUACCACAUGGGGUGGCUGUGUGUAUUCAUGAGUUACACACACAGAGAUUCUCUGACGGCAUUCGCUCUUUCUCACAAAAUGCUGCUUUCUGUGCAUCCCUCCCUUAAAGCCACUUGACCCUGAGGAUUCACCCACUUUUUAAAAAUUAGUCAAUGAGUUUACCCAAUAGAGGGUUGAUUACUCAAGUAGUUAUCUCUUAAGAAAGUACAAAAGGCUGUGAAAGAGAAGAGUUGGGUCAAGGUGGAAAAAUUUCUGAAAGCCUGUAUGUGUGUGUGACCUGUUUAAACACAAAGAAGUAGGUCUGCAAGGAUCCACGGCGCACUGCUCAAGGUGCUCGCCUGCCUGGGGGAUGGCAGGGGCAGGGAGGCGAGACAAGGGCUUCUGCAUUUUACUUGUAUAGGCAUCAGCAUUUAAAAAAAAAUUAACAACAAACACGUGCUACUGUCACGAAGCAAAGUGGGUUUGCUUCUUGGUGAGCUGAAAUCAGAGCCUUCACCAGAAGUAGUUGUCACACAAAGGAAAGUUUAUUUGCCGCAAAUAGGAGACCUCGGGGAAUCAUUUCCAAAGUCGGGGCUCUCUGUGAGCACAGGACAGGAGGGGCCGUUUAUUUCAGAUGGGGAAUGAAUAUUCAAAGGAGAGAGGUGGGUAUUCGCUUGCGCAGGCUCAGUUGGAAAACAUGCUUCCACAUACAUCACGUUAUGGCAACAAGGCCUAAGCCCCUCCAAGAGGGAAGAUCUUAGCGUUAAAAAUGAGGCAAAGGUCACCUCCUACCCAUUGGGUGUGCCUCUGCCAUCCAGUUGUGGAAUAAAAUCCAUGCAUCAAGAAUUUUAAAAUAGGAAUAAAUGUGGUUGAAGGUACAUGGGGAAUCAUACUCCUACUUUUCUGUAUGUUGAAAAUUGAUGUAAAUUUUUAAAAAUUUAAAGCAGUUUGCUCUCAAGGUAGAUGACCUUAAAAGUACACAUAUAGAAAAAGUCCCGUGGCUUAUCAUCACUCACGACAAACGUGAAAGUCUGCAGAACUACAAAAUCCUAAAUGCCUAAAAAAGGUAUAGCAAUUGCUGUCUUCAAUUCAUUCCCUCUCAUACACACAACUGGCUGUAAUUUCCAGUUUUAUAAAGUAGCCGUGUAGCCAUUUGGAAGAUUCUGGUGUUAAAAAAGAAAUAGGCCCAAAAUGGAGUCAUUUGCCCCCACAAUAGCCAACCAAGACUUGAUUACAGUUUCAACCUAUCCCAGGCAUGUGAUCUUUUCAACGGUCAAUCAGAAAUUUCCUGACUAGCCCUAGUGAGGUAAUCUGCAUGAUGAAAACCCCUUCUGAUCCCUUCCCCUAAAAGAAGCCGUCCUGGCCUGAAACAAUUCUUUCUUUUCUUUUGCUAAUCACUUCCUUACCCCACCCUCCUUCUGCCUAUAAAAACUUUCCAGUUGUACAACUCCUUGGAUUAUCUCUCUACUUGCUACACAGGAUGCUGCCUGAUUCAAAUUGUUUAAUAUAGCCAAUUAGAUCUUCAAAUUUACUCGGUUGAAUUUUGUUUUUUAACAUAUUUGGUGGCAGCCGUGGGAUCAAAGGAGACUUCUGUUGACUUCGAGGACAAAGAGAAACACAGGUGUGGUGCCCUGUGAACACUUCUGAGUUUGCUGUCUUUUUUCACCAUUUCCAGGGGCGUUUUGGAUCACACUGAACCCUCACAACGACCUGGGAGUAGCCCUUAUUAUCUUGGAUUCACAACUGAGGGGCCACCUCAGACACAGGAGACAGGUGCUCAGAAGGUGGUGGUGAUGAAUGAACGCCCUUCUCCCAGCAAAUGUGACUUCUCUGCAUCCAUUCAUGUGACUCACGUCUUCUUAGAUCUCUCUGGCUUAAAAACUGUCCUACUGCAGCUACAGAGUGGAAAGCGCCCACAUUUUGUGGCCAGAAGACCUGAAUUCCAGACCCGGCCUGUUGUCUAGAUCGCGUCUCUGAGCCAACAGGUCCUCAUGGUCACGUGGGGCUGAUUCCCCUCCCCCAGGCUGGCUCGGAGGAUUAAAGGCAUUUAUCUUGUGCAGGGGACACAGGGCACAGAGAUACCACCCAAAUGGCAGCCACAAGAGGACUCCGCUCAAAGUGCUCUUCCUUGGGGGCCUCCCUAGCACAUGUGUGCAAUUUCCCCUGUAUUGUUCUCUAAUCCUUGAUGGUUACUCUGUAAUUGCUCUCAAAUGGUUUCAUCAUAAUAAAUAGCAUCUGCAGAGCCGUUUACGAACUGUACCUUUUUCCUCAUCCCUUUCCCACCUUUACAAAAAGAAACUGAGGCUCAGAGAAGUGAAUUGAUUUCUCUAAGACCACACAGUGAGGAGGAGGCGAGCUCACCCCUCCUUGGCCCGUGGGGCCUGCAGGCCCCCAGCCCACUGUGUCCCCAGUUCCAGGCAGGGGAGGGAGGGACAGAGAGGGAGCUUGGCAGGAGUCCAGGGGCUACCUGGGGUCUGAUGGCUGAGGGAGGAGACGGGCAGUUCACUCGGCCCCAGGCAGGCUGGGUGCAUGGGCGUCCAUGCAGAAUCAUGCACUCACCUGUGUGUGCAGGUGUGCAGGCUGAGACCAGGUGACCCCCAAGGGGGCUUAUAGAGGGAUCACGCCUCUGGGGUGGGAUGUGGGACUAGGUUGGCUCUGGAAUCCCUUUCUGUUCUUAGGCUUAUGUGACUUGGAAACUUCUGGAAAAAGACUGGGCCAAAUGAAACGCUUCCACUGGAACUGAGGUUCCAUUAUUACCCAGAUAAGCUGCAUUAUUAGCUGUUUGUUUGAUUUGCUUAUUUUGUUGUUUUGGUCAGAAAACUGAGGCACCAGGGAGGUCUGUGGCCUUGUCCCAGAGGCACAGUGAGGUCUUCAGAACACAUUUUACUUUCCUUCCUGAAUGCCCCUGAAUCCAAAUUCGGCCUUGUUUAGCAGUGAUGGUGACUUCUGAAGAACAUCCUGGAAUACAUUGUCUCAUCCUGAAAAUCUUAAUUGAGGAAACCUCCAACACGUGGCCCAAGAGGAGAGUGAUUCCCACCCAAGUGAUAAAUACUUCGGGGGUCUCAAAACUGUGUCUUGGCCAAGGACGUUCCACGUCAGAGCCCUGUGGCUCUGCGAACAGCGCAGGACAGAGAGGGGACAAACAGCCGUACUGUUCUCUCCCUGGGAGCUGGGCCAUAUUCUCCUCUCUGUUUAGCAAGUGGGAAAACUGAGAUCUUGCCAGCAGCCAAGUGGAUGGGGAGGUGUCUGGCCGAUGCUUUUGAG